RNAcentral lists this small nuclear RNA (46 nucleotides) under Eremothecium sinecaudum. RNAcentral's name for it is "HBLSNR44". Lineage: Eukaryota; Fungi; Ascomycota; Saccharomycetes; Saccharomycetales; Saccharomycetaceae. The record is from RNAcentral.
UUCCAAUAUUCUUAUCCCGGACACUUAAAAGACAGUAUGGGACUGA